Molecule: long non-coding RNA, 2861 nt
Organism: Bos taurus (domestic cattle)
Lineage: Eukaryota; Metazoa; Chordata; Mammalia; Artiodactyla; Bovidae
Source: Ensembl
AGAGAAGCCAUAGAGCAGCCACACAGACCCUGCUCUGUAGGAUCCUAGAAGUGUGGGUCUCAGGAAAGGAAGAUGGAGGGUGGAUUACAGAACCCUUGGAGUCAGCACUGGGAUCCCCCCAAAUCCUGAAGCAGUGUCUGGAUGGCAAAAUGCUGAGGGGUCAAGUCUGAAGCCUGUCCCUAGGGGUACGGGCUGCACAGGCCUCCCCAGGUUCUCACGCCGGUACACGUGGUGUAACAUCUCAGCCGACUGAAGAGGACAUUUAAUGUCAUCGUUCACGUUGCUAGUUAACAACCCACCGGUUACAUGGGUGAAAAUCCAUCAGGACGCCUGCUACACGCACGGACAGCUCCGAACGUGGCCAAGGGGGAGGACUGACGCAGCCAGCAGCCCUGCUGCCCUCCCACCCCACUGCCAAGGAGGGUCUGCAGUGCGGAGCUGGGGGACCCCAUGGAGGCAUCUCUAAGUGAACGCUGGCUGACCCCCAGGCUGGUGGCUCCUGAGCCUCCUCCAGCCUUCCCAGCUAAGACACCUGAAUGUGAGCAAAGACCUCAGAGGCUGGAGGAAGGAGCCUGGAACCACCCCAGCGGCAGCACGCUUGCCGAGUUGGCUGUGCAGGCCAGGCAGGAUGGUGCUGACCCCAGGGGCUCUUCUGGAAGCUUUCCAUCUUCUUACCUGAGUUACUCCUCUGCCCUGCUCCCACUGCCUGUGUUUUUGCUUCCUCACCUCUGCCUGGGAAGACUUCCAACAGCAGGUACCAGCAACACAACCUCUUCCUUAUCAAGUGGCAGCCUAGCAACUCCUGCAGAAGGCCCAGCAGAGCCCCGUGCAGGCGACCCCCUGACACGCCACGGCCCCUCAUUCCCUCUCGCCAGCCCAGCCCUGCGGCCUCUGAUGGCAGAGAAGGUGAUGUCUGGUACCGCUGCAGGCGCCCUCCUGCCUGGAACCAGGGCCUCAAGCAGGCACACCUGGGAAGGGCUGGCCAGCUGGGUCACGCUGCCCGGGUCAGCCGAUCCUUGCCCACCAGGGGCUCAUUUACAGAAAACGGGCCCUGCUGUCCCAAGUCCACGGACCAGCUGUGUCCUGAAGGUCAGGAUGGACGUGGGGCUGCAGCUCUGGUCUGUCUGCUAAGUAUGUUAACUGGCCUAUAAGUGGGAAACAAUUUCAAGAAGACCUGUCAUGCGUUCCUGGUGGUCCAGUGGUUAUUAAUCCACCUUGCAAAGCAUGGGACACCAGUUCGAUCUCUGGUGAUCUCUGGCCAGGAUGAUCCCACAUGCCUCAGAGAGAGUGAGGCUGCGCCCCAGCAGCUGAGCCUGUGCGCUGGGACCCACGCACUGCAACUACUGAAGUUGGCCCAUCUGGAGCCUGAGCUCCAGGCAAGAGAAGGCGCCACGAUGCGAAGCCCGCUGACCUUGGCGAGGAGGAGCCCCCACUCCCGACAACCAGAGAGGAGGCUCGUGUGCAGUGAUAAAGUCCUACCACAGCCAGCAGUAAAAUAAAUGAAUGAAUCUUAAAAAAAGAAAAGAACUCUCCCCAGGAGAGGAGCCCAGGAGUGAGGGAGAGGAGGGGAGAUGUGGAGGCCUGGUUGGGGGAGGCCAGAUAAACUCCAUGGGCUGCCCAGCAUCAGGAUCUUUUCCAGGGAGUCAGUUCUUCAUUCGAAUCAGGUGGCCUAAAUAUUGGAGCUUCAGCUUCAGCAUCAGUCUUUCCAAUGAACAGCCAGGACUGAUCUCCUUUAGGAUGGACUGAUUGGAUCUCCUUGCAGUCCACGGGACUCAAGAGUCUUCUUCAGCACCACAGUUUGAAAGCAUCAAUUCAGGCUUCCUUGUGGUCCAACUCUCACAUCCAUACAUGACUACUGGAAAAACCACAGCUUUGACUAUACCAACCUUUGUCAGCAGAUGUCUCUGCUUUUUAAUAUAUUGUCUAGGUUGGUCAUAGCUUUUCUUCCAAGGAACAAGCAUCUUUUAAUUUCAUGGCUGCAGUCACCAUCCACAGUGAUUUUGGAGCCCAAGAAAACAAGUCUGUCAAUGUUUCCACUGUUUCCCCAUCUGUUUGCCAUGAAGUGAUGGGAUCGGAUGACAUGAUCUUAGCUUUCUGAAUGCUGAGUUUUAAGCCAGCAUUUUCACUCUCCUCUUCUACCUUCAUCAAGAGGCUCUUUAGUUUCUCUCUGCUUUCUGCCAUAAGGGUGGUGUCAUCUGCGUAUGAGAUAAUUUUAUUCUGGCAAUCUUGAUUCCGGCUUGAGUUUCAUCCAGCCCAGCAUUUUACAUGAUGUACUCUGCAUAUUAGUUAAAUAAGCUCCUGGUACCCAUUUUUUUAACGUAGCUGCUUGUUUCAUAGCACUUUAUAUUAUGCAGGUACAAGUUCUUUAUCACAUGUGUAGUUUGCAAAUAUUUUUUCUUCAUUUCUGGCCUGGGUUUUGACUUUCUGGAUAAGUGAUUUCACCGGUACAAUUUUCAGUUUUAUAAAGUUUGCUAUUUUUUCCCCUUUUCUGUGGAUUUUCAUGUGAUGUGUUGGAAAUAAAAGUUUGUGGUCUACAUGACAAAAGCCACAGCCAUGUCGAUUUUCUUCUAUAAUUUUAAAAAGUUUUAUAUUUUAAAUUUGCCUUUAGACAACUUGGAGUGUCUUUUGGUUUGAGCUGUAAAGUCUGUUCCUACAUUCCUUUUGUGGUUCCUAAUUACCCUGUAGUUAGGUUGCACAAGUCCUGGGAUAGUGGCCUCGACCCGUUUAUUUCCAGAGUGUUGUGCCUCGAGCACGACGGGCAGGAAAGACCCCGGCCGCUCUGCAGUGGGAGCGGGCGUGGCCUGCAUUCUCCCAGUUGGCCCGCAGAGGGCGACAAGCCGCCUCACUUCCCAGGGCCGACC